This 1033-nucleotide small RNA is filed under the name uncultured Rubrobacteraceae bacterium. RNAcentral's name for it is "bacterial SSU rRNA". The stretch from base 1 to 471 matches the Rfam family "Bacterial small subunit ribosomal RNA", at positions 1064 to 1533 of the family's 1533-position model. The record is from RNAcentral. Lineage: Bacteria; Bacillati; Actinomycetota; Rubrobacteria; Rubrobacterales; Rubrobacteraceae.
GUCGUGAGAUGUUGGGUUAAGUCCCGCAACGAGCGCAACCCCCGUCGCAUGUUGCCAGCAUUUAGUUGGGGACUCAUGCGAGACUGCUGGUGACAAACCGGAGGAAGGUGGGGAUGACGUCAAGUCCUCAUGCCCCUUAUGUUCAGGGCUACACACGUGCUACAUUGGCGCAUACAGAGGGUUGCGAUACCGCGAGGUGGAGCGAAUCCCUUAAAGUGCGUCUCGGUUCGGAUUGCAGGCUGAAAUUCGCCUGCAUGAAGGCGGAGUUGCUAGUAAUCGCGGAUCAGCAUUGCCGCGGUGAAUACGUUCCCGGGCCUUGUACACACCGCCCGUCACACCACGGGAGUGAGCAACACCCGAAGCCGGUGGCCUAACCCGCAAGGGAGGGAGCCGUCGAAGGUGGGGCUCGUGACUGGGGUGAAGUCGUAACAAGGUAGCCGUAGCGGAAGCUGCGGCUGGAUCACCUCCUUUCUAGGGAGCACCUAGCGGUGCCCCGAUCCAGGGUUCGUCUGACGACGGACCCGCGCGGUCGCCAGGCCCUCGAGGCCGGGCGAUGUCCGAGCAGAUCGGGCCUAGCAUGUCGACCGAACCUGGCUGGAUAGCCGUCUGACGCGGAGGCCCUGACUACUUGGGUCCUCGGCGGCUGCCGGCCGCAACGAUCCCAGCAUGCUGUUGAGUUUUGAGAGACCGGCGCCCGCCGGGAGUCGCGUGGACGCGUCAUGACGACGCAGCCGACAGUACGCGGAACCGGGCCGGCGUUAUACGCCUCUCCACGGUCCUUGAAAACUGCACAGAUGCCACAUCAGCCGCCAUCGAUAAGCGGCGGCUGAAAAACGGGUAUCACCGGGCCCUCCCGACCUAAGGCGUCCCGAUCUCCGCAAGGAGCUCAGGGCGGCGCGGUCGAGUUGGGCCAGAUCACCGUCAAGAUAGUAAGGGCACACGGUGGAUGCCUUGGCACCAAGAGUCGAUGAAGGGCGUGAACGGCCGCGAUAAGCCACGGUUAGGCGCUGAAUAGCCUUUGACCCGUGGAUGC